AAAACAUGUCUUAAAGAAAAAUAUUAAGUCUUUCCUGCACACUGAUUUACUUAAAGAGCUGCAGUACUUUAACUGUACAAAGGUAGCAUAAUAAUUUGCUUUUUAAUUAAAAGCUAGAAUGAAAGGUUUGACGUAAUAUUUUCUAUUACUUUUUAAAAAUAAAACUUAAAUUUUUGGUUAAAAUCCCAAAUUAAAUCUUAAAGACGAUAAGACCCUAUAAAAUUUAACUAAAUAAAUGUAAUCAGAUUAUUUUUAAUUCAGUUUUAUUGGGGUGAUUUUGAUAUUUAAUCUAUCAAUUAUCAAAUCGUUAAUAACCGAAUUAAUUUGACCCUAUAAAGUUUUAAAGAUCAAAUUACUUUAGGGAUAACAGCGUUAUAUUUCUUAAAGCUCGUAUUUAAAGAAAAGAUUGCGACCUCGAUGUUGAAUUAAGAAACCUUAAAAGAAGCAACUAUCUUUUUAAGAAAUCUGUUCGAUUUUUAAUUUCUUACAUGAUCUGA
RNAcentral lists this ribosomal RNA (497 nucleotides) under Cimmerius reticulatus. Its description in RNAcentral is "partial 16S ribosomal RNA". The record is from RNAcentral. Lineage: Eukaryota; Metazoa; Arthropoda; Malacostraca; Cumacea; Ceratocumatidae.